This 83-nucleotide transfer RNA is filed under the name archaeon. Its description in RNAcentral is "tRNA-Ser". It matches the Rfam family "tRNA". From Rfam's summary of the family: Transfer RNA (tRNA) molecules are approximately 80 nucleotides in length. Their secondary structure includes four short double-helical elements and three loops (D, anti-codon, and T loops). The record is from RNAcentral. RNAcentral also lists the same sequence under 1 other name.
GCCGAGGUGGCGGAACCCGGUAACGCGCCAUCCUGGAAAGGUGGUCCCGCAAGGGAUUCCAGGUUCAAAUCCUGGCCUCGGCG